GACUCUGAAAAACAAAGAUAAAAGAAAACCAAAAACCAUUUCUUGGCUGGAUUGAAGAGAUUCUAUGGAGAUCCAAGUGAAAUCAAAGCCAAAGAAGUGGAUUAAGCUUAGUUCUGGCCUUUUUAUGAUAUUUCUUGGUGGUUUCCAAGUGGUUUGAGGUUUAGAAAAGCUAGAAGAGUUUGUUUUCGCCGAAAAGUUGCUCGGAUAAGCACAUCAACACCUAAGACACCACUUGUUACACGGUGAAAUAUAUUUUGGACAGAAGGUAAGUAAAGUACUCAACUUCAAC
Molecule: long non-coding RNA, 289 nt
Organism: Humulus lupulus (European hop)
Lineage: Eukaryota; Viridiplantae; Streptophyta; Magnoliopsida; Rosales; Cannabaceae
Exons: 3
Source: RefSeq, a predicted model, not a curated record